Molecule: ribosomal RNA, 253 nt
Filed under: uncultured bacterium
Lineage: Bacteria
Description: partial 16S ribosomal RNA
Rfam family: Bacterial small subunit ribosomal RNA
Source: RNAcentral
UACGUAGGGGGCUAGCGUUGUCCGGAAUCAUUGGGCGUAAAGCGCGUGUAGGCGGUCCGGUAAGUCCGCUGUGAAAGUCGAGGGCUCAACCCUCGAAUGCCGGUGGAUACUGUCGGGCUUGAGUACGGGAGAGGCGAGUGGAAUUCCUGGUGUAGCGGUGAAAUGCGCAGAUAUCAGGAGGAACACCGAUUGCGAAGGCAGCUCGCUGGUUGGAUACUGACGCUGAUACGCGAAAGCGUGGGGAGCAAACAGG